GAUAGAUGCAGAGAUUCACAGCCAACCACCAGGCUGAGCUCCAGGAGUCCAGGCUGGAUAAUUUAAAGUUAAGAAAAGCUGGCUAGCAACAAGCCAAGAUAAGGGCAGAUAAACAUGUGAGAAGCUGAGCGACUCAUCCAGCAGUCAACAUGUGUGAAAUCAUCAUGAAGACAAGUUCUAGAGUCUUCUCACACCCUGAAAGCUGGCUUUAUGAUGUGCAAGCAGUGUCCUGCUUAUCACUGAGUCACACUAACUGGUCAUGAAUUGGACUCCAAGUAAACUCAC
Long non-coding RNA from Peromyscus eremicus (cactus mouse), 285 nucleotides. RefSeq lists it as uncharacterized. Lineage: Eukaryota; Metazoa; Chordata; Mammalia; Rodentia; Cricetidae. The transcript is spliced from 3 exons. The record is from RefSeq and is a predicted model, not a curated record.